AGGGUUCGAUUCUGGCUCAGGAUGAACGCUAGCUACAGGCUUAACACAUGCAAGUCGAGGGGCAGCAUUGGAGUAGCAAUACUUCAGAUGGCGACCGGCGCACGGGUGAGUAACACGUAUCCAACCUGCCGCUUACUCGGGGAUAGCCUUUCGAAAGAAGGAUUAAUACCCGAUGGUAUAAAGAGUUCGCAUGUUCUCUUUAUUAAAGAAUUUCGGUAAGCGAUGGGGAUGCGUUCCAUUAGAUAGUUGGCGGGGUAACGGCCCACCAAGUCUACGAUGGAUAGGGGUUCUGAGAGGAAGGUCCCCCACAUUGGAACUGAGACACGGUCCAAACUCCUACGGGAGGCAGCAGUGAGGAAUAUUGGUCAAUGGACGCGAGUCUGAACCAGCCAAGUAGCGUGAAGGAUGACUGCCCUAUGCGUUGUAAACUUCUUUUAUAAGGGAAUAAAGUGAGGGACGUGUCCCUUUUGUAUGUACCUUAUGAAUAAGGAUCGGCUAACUCCGUGCCAGCCGCGGC
Molecule: ribosomal RNA, 517 nt
Filed under: uncultured bacterium
Lineage: Bacteria
Description: bacterial SSU rRNA
Rfam family: Bacterial small subunit ribosomal RNA
Source: RNAcentral